Molecule: ribosomal RNA, 862 nt
Filed under: Salmonella enterica subsp. enterica serovar Anatum
Lineage: Bacteria; Pseudomonadati; Pseudomonadota; Gammaproteobacteria; Enterobacterales; Enterobacteriaceae
Description: bacterial LSU rRNA
Rfam family: Bacterial large subunit ribosomal RNA
Source: RNAcentral
CAUCCUCCAAGGCUAAAUACUCCUGACUGACCGAUAGUGAACCAGUACCGUGAGGGAAAGGCGAAAAGAACCCCGGCGAGGGGAGUGAAAAAGAACCUGAAACCGUGUACGUACAAGCAGUGGGAGCCCCACCACCAAAGCAUUCUCUGGUGUUGAAGGCCCUGCAAAGCAGCAUCGCGGUGGCGGAGCGUCGUUUGCGACGCCCAACACACAAAACAAGCGGUGAGUGCUUUGGGGUGGGGUGACUGCGUACCUUUUGUAUAAUGGGUCAGCGACUUAUAUUCUGUAGCAAGGUUAACCGAAUAGGGGAGCCGGAGGGAAACCGAGUCUUAAUUGGGCGUUAAGUUGCAGGGUAUAGACCCGAAACCCGGUGAUCUAGCCAUGGGCAGGUUGAAGGUUGGGUAACACUAACUGGAGGACCGAACCGACUAAUGUUGAAAAAUUAGCGGAUGACCUGUGGCUGGGGGUGAAAGGCCAAUCAAACCGGGAGAUAGCUGGUUCUCCCCGAAAGCUAUUUAGGUAGCGCCUCGUGAAUUCAUCUCCGGGGGUAGAGCACUGUUUCGGCUAGGGGGCCAUCCCGGCUUACCAACCCGAUGCAAACUGCGAAUACCGGAGAAUGUUAUCACGGGAGACACACGGCGGGUGCUAACGUCCGUCGUGAAGAGGGAAACAACCCAGACCGCCAGCUAAGGUCCCAAAGUCAUGGUUAAGUGGGAAACGAUGUGGGAAGGCCCAGACAGCCAGGAUGUUGGCUUAGAAGCAGCCAUCAUUUAAAGAAAGCGUAAUAGCUCACUGGUCGAGUCGGCCUGCGCGGAAGAUGUAACGGGGCUAAACCAUGCACCGAAGCUGCGGCAGCGACACU